AGUGAACGCUGGCGGUAGGCCUAACACAUGCAAGUCGAACGGCAGCACAGUAAGAGCUUGCUCUUACGGGUGGCGAGUGGCGGACGGGUGAGGAAUACAUCGGAAUCUACUUUUUCGUGGGGGAUAACGUAGGGAAACUUACGCUAAUACCGCAUACGACCUACGGGUGAAAGCAGGGGAUCUUCGGACCUUGCGCGAUUGAAUGAGCCGAUGUCGGAUUAGCUAGUUGGCGGGGUAAAGGCCCACCAAGGCGACGAUCCGUAGCUGGUCUGAGAGGAUGAUCAGCCACACUGGAACUGAGACACGGUCCAGACUCAUACGGGAGGCAGCAGUGGGGAAUAUUGGACAAUGGGCGCAAGCCUGAUCCAGCCAUACCGCGUGGGUGAAGAAGGCCUUCGGGUUGUAAAGCCCUUUUGUUGGGAAAGAAAAGCAGCAGGUUAAUACCCCGCUGUUCUGACGGUACCUAAAGAAUAAGCACCGGCUAACUUCGUG
Molecule: ribosomal RNA, 492 nt
Filed under: uncultured bacterium
Lineage: Bacteria
Description: partial 16S ribosomal RNA
Rfam family: Bacterial small subunit ribosomal RNA
Source: RNAcentral